This is a long non-coding RNA of Gorilla gorilla gorilla (western lowland gorilla), 8424 nucleotides long. RefSeq lists it as uncharacterized. The record is from RefSeq and is a predicted model, not a curated record. Lineage: Eukaryota; Metazoa; Chordata; Mammalia; Primates; Hominidae. The transcript is spliced from 4 exons.
CUUCAUCCCCCACCCGGGGCAGAUUCAGACAAGCAUUUAUUUUAGUUCCUAAGCCGCGCGGUGCUCCCAGCUCCCGCGCCUCUGGGCGGCCCACACCCCUCCCAAUCCCCUCCUCCGCGCCGCCGUCUUCCUUGCUCUUGGGUGGCCGCGGCGCCCGCUUCCUCUGAAUUCGCCGGGCAGGGAUACAGCCGCCCGGGGCCUGUUGCUCGUGCUUGGUUUUCCGGACCUUGCUUCCUAAAGGGUCUUUUGGGGUUCCCGGACUCCUCCGCCUGGGAGCCUCUAUCUCCCUGGGAGCCUCUAUGCGCCCCGCAUAGCCCCCGGCAGGGCCGAGGGGAGGCUUCAUUGGCGACCUGGUGGGGCCUCGCGGCCCUGCUCCCUGUCGUCAGCGCCGCCGCGGUGAUUUAACAGCUUUUGUUUUGGGCAGAAGAACCUAUGGGCACAAAAAGCAGGAACGAGUAGCGGUGGCUGAAGAACGAGCAGGAGCUUGAAUUUCAGUUUUCUUAUGAGGAAUUUUCCAGAAAAGAUAUCUUCACUGUGAAAUAAGUAAAUAAAUGCCCACUCAGUACAACAAAAAUACCUGCUACAUGCUUCCUUCUGUAUGAAUACACGAGACCUACCUUCAUUCAUGUUUCCUCUAUGAAGCUUUCCCUGAGCUCCAAACACAGAGCUGAGACUUCCACCUAAUGUAGAAAGCUAGCACGAGCCGGCGCUGACAGAUGGAAGACUUGAGAUGUUACAAGAUUAUAUAUGGAAACACAAAAGGAGUGGAGUUGCUGGGUCAUAUGGCAAUUCAUUUGAGGAACUGAGAAGCUUAUUCUAUGGAGGCUGAACUGUUUUAUAUUCCCACCAGCAACGUGUAAGGUUCCAGUUUCUCUACAUCAUCACCAACACUUGCUAUUUUCCAUUUCCUUAAUGAUAGCCAUCCUAGUGGAUUUGAAGUGGUACCUUAUCGUGGUUUUGAUUGCAUUCUCUAUUGACUAAUGAUAUUGAGCAUCUUUUCAUGUAUUUUUUGGUCAUUUGGUCAUUUUUCUUUUUUAAUUUUAAAAUUUUGAGACAGGCUCUCACUAUGUUGCCCAGGUGGUCUCAAACUCCUGGGUUCCAGCGAUGCUCAUGCCUCAGUCUCCCAAAGGGGUGGGAUUACAGGUGUGAGCCACUUUGCCCAGCCCAUUUGUAUAUCUCCUUUGGAGAAUAUCUAGGUUCUUUUGAAGGUAGCUGCAUAUAAACUAGCCAAAUUAACAGACUGUGGUUUUUAGACGGCUUUCCAUAUCUACAAGAACUAUUUAGUUCUCAAAACUGGGAAGAAAUGUUUCAGAGGCAUCAUUAAUUCAUAAUCUAAAAAUUUAUCUCAGGUUUCCUUUUUUCCCCCAGAUUCUGUAUCCUCCAUAGUCCUAUUCAUGACAUGGGUCGUUCAUCUCUGUAUUCUAAACCCUCAACGAACUGUAGACACUAAUAAAUAUUUAUUGGAUGAAUGGUCUCUCACCAGCCACCUUUUCUUUUUUUUUUUUGAGACAGAGUCUCACUCUGUCACUCAGGCUGGAGUGCAGUGGCACGAUCUCGGUUCACUGCAACCUCCGCCUCCCCGGUUCAAGCGAUUCUCCCACCUGAGCCUCCCGAGUAGCGGGGAUUACAGGUGCACGCCACCUUGUCUGGCUAAUUUUUGUAUUUUUAGUAGAGACACGGUUUCACUGUGUUGGUCAGGCUGGUCUCAAACGCCUGACCUCAGGUGAUCUGCCCGACUUGGCCUCCCAAAGUGCUGGGAUUACAGGUGUGAGCCACCGCACCCGGCCUCCAGCCUCUUUUCUUUUCUUUUUUUUUUUUUUUGAGACAAGUCUAACUCUGUCACCCGGCUGGAGAGCAGCGGCAUGAUCAUGGCUCACUGCUGCCUCAACCUCAGUGGCUCAAGUCAUUGUCCCCACCUCAGCCUCCCUAGUAGACUGGACUACAGGCAUGUGCCACCACACCCAGCUAAUUUUUCAUCAGCCACCUUUUCUAACCAUCUGUCUGCACUGACUUCCCAGGUUCUGCAUCAUUAUUGGUUUACUGAGACAAUGCACUUGACCCGUCCUUCAAUCCCAAAGUAGCACAGAAUAUCAGGAGUUCUUUGAGCCCCUAAGUGCCCUACUUUCCCAGGGUCAGGGGACCCAGACAAGCAAGGUCCCCACAUCUUUCUGUGGUUGGAUAGGGAUAUAAAAUUUCUCACACAUGUUAAAUCAAGAUACUUUGGCCAGGCAUGGUGGCUCACACCUGUAAUCCCAGCACUUUGGGAGGCUGAGGUGUACAGAUCACUUGAGGUCAGGAGUUCGAGACCAGCCUGGUCAACAUGGUGAAACUCCCAUCUCUACUAAAAAAAAAAAACUUUGGGAGGCCGAGGUGGGUGGAUCAUGAGGUCAAGAGUUUGAGACCAGCCUGGCCAACAUGGUGAGACCCCGUCUCUACUAAAAAUACAAAAAUUAGGUGGGCGUGGUGGCACACACCAGUAGUCCCAGCUACUCAGGAGGCUGAGGCAGGAGAAUUGCUUGAACCUGGGAGGCAGAGGUUACAGUGAGCUGAGAUCAUGCCACCGCACUCCAGCCAGGGCAACAGAUCAAGACUCCGUCUUGGGGGAAAAAAAAAAAAAAAUUAGCCAGGCUUGGUGGUGGAUGCCUGUAUUCCCAGCUUCUUGGGAGACUGAAGCAGGAGGAUUGCUUGAACCCAGGAGGCAGAGGUUGCAGUGAGUUGAGAUUGUGCCACUGUACUCCAGCCUGGGCAACAGAAACAAUACUCUGUCUCAAAAAAAAAAAAAUCAAGACACCAAACACACACAACUAAUUAGCUUUAUAAAUUGAAUUAAAAGAAAAUCCAUACUGACUUGCUUUCCCAUCUGUCCAUAUUUGUCUAUCAAAAUGAUUAAGGGCUAGAGAAAAUACAGAUGAUGAUGGCUGAGAUGGGAUGAAACUAUAAAUUGACUUGGUUCCAUUUACCUCCCAGAAUCAGCAUACAGUGACAAGGUAGAGAGAAAAGGUUUGGGCACCACAAACUUGUACUUGUGCUAGAAAUGUAGGUGCCUUUUCAUUUGCGCAGCAGGGCUAGUUUAACAGCCAGGGUAUCUUCUGGGACUCUUCCCCAAAUCUUGCUCUACCGCUGACUAGCUAUGUGAUCUUGGGCAAGUUUCUCAACCUUUCUGUGCCUUUCUUCCUUCACUUAUAACAGAAUUUGCUUCAUAGAGUUAGUCUGAGGAUUCAGUAAGUAGAUACGUGUAAUCUUAGAACAGUGUCUGGCACAUAGUAAAACUCUAUCUUUGCUAUUGUUGUUUUUGUUAUAACUGUAUAGAUGUUAGCUAUUAUUACUAUCCACAAGAAUGGGACAUAUCAAUUAUAUAUAUUACUGGCCUAGUAAUUAUAUAUACUUAGAAUCCCUGAUCAAUAAAAUAAAUUGUAAUAGAAACUUUUGUUCCUCAAACACAUUUUUGUUCCUCAAACACAUUUUUAAAUAAACAUGUCUUGGGAAAGCCAAAGAAAAAAAAAUCAUACCUAUAUCCAAAUAUGUUAUAUUAAAACCUUGUUCCUUGGCAAUUUCACUAAGCAGCUGGAUGUAAUCUGUAUUUGGAAUACUAAGGAGGCUUCUUUUCAGUAAGUUGAUCUUUUCACCAGGAGAAUUCCUCAAGGAAUGCCAAGUACAUCCUAAAGUAUGUCCUACUACAUUUGUCUGAAAAACAGAGAUGAAGAUUUAGACUCUUGACUAGGACUGGGUUCCAACACCAGUAUCAGUAUAAUUAAAAGUACUUAUUAAGCACUCACAUUUAAUAUGUUAUAAAGCAUGUUUAAAUGGAUAACAUUUGGUUAAUUUUCCAAUUUAAACAAGACAACAUUAAAAAGUACACAUUUAACAAUACUAUAUGUUUUUAAGAAGCACUUGCAAUAAUAUACUGAAAGCAUUUUGUAUUUUGUAUAGUACAAAUGUUUCUCAGUCAAGUUUUCUGAUGGUCACAUUAAGAGGUACAAGAUAUCUGGGAGCACCAUAAGUAAAUCCACAAAUAAUUAAAUCUGCCUAAUGGAGCAAUUUGCAGAUUAAAAUAUAGAACAAUUUUCAUAUCUUUGGUUUUUUUGUAUUAAAUACCAAUCACUAUAACUGACAGCUAUAAAACAGGAAAAAAAAACUAAAAAAAACAUGAAAUGUGCACGUUGGGUUUGAGGAACAAGUCAUUCAAAUAAAUGACAGGAUGUCAAAAAGUUCUUAUCAGACUUCUAUCCCAGAACCCAACUGAGUAUUUUUUUCCUUUUUCUUUCUGCUUUUUCUCUUUCCUUUAUCCUCCCCUAUAUCCUUCCCUUUUCAUCUCUGUCCUUAGAAUGCCUUAUAUUUCCAUAUUAGUUUAUGGUUCUCAAAUUGCUUUCAUAUGCCAUUAAUAAAAACAACUACUUUCUGAAGUAAGUAGGGUUACUACUCUUAAUAUUGUUUUAUUAAUGAGCACGACAGAGGGGAGGCAAUUUCCAAAAGAUUUUAGAGAUGGCAUGAUAUGGAAUUAAGUAAUUUGUUAGAUAUACCAAAUAAAAAUUUACAUUAUAGAAACUUUAAAAUACUGUUUUUAAAUAAAUUAAAGAACACUAUUUACAUGGUUAAAAAAAUACAUGCACUAAGAACAAAUAUAUAAUGAAGAGUACAGUCUCUUUUCCUUACCACCCAUUCCCUGAAGACCUCUGUUCUAUUUCUUAGACAUACUGUUAAACAUUUUUCAGUAUCUUCCCAUAAAUGUUCUAUGCAUAUGCAAGCACACACAAUCUUUUAAAGCAAAUGAUAACUUACUCCUCUACAUCUUGUUCAUUUUUCUUUUAUCAGUGCACAUAUAUGCACUGUAUUUACCUUACGGAUCUCCAACUGUGAGCUUUAGGUUGUUUCUAGUUUCUUGCUUUUACUAGCAAUAAACACUCUUUUGCACUUGAAUGAGUUUCUCUGUAGAAUUAUUUCUAGAAGUGGAACUGCUAAGUCAAAGAACAUAUACACUUUUAAUUUUGAUAAAUACUUCCAAACUGAUUUCUGAACCAAUUUAUACUCCUACCAACUGUCUUGGAGGGGGCUUGUUUUCUCAUACCCUCACUAAUACCAGCUAUUAUCAAAUUUGGUAGUUUUUGCCAAUCUAAAAGGUGAAAAUAUUUUAUCUUGCAUGAAUAAAGUUGAAUAUUUUUUCUUUUUUUCCCUUAAUCGUUUGCAUUUCUUCUACUGGGUUGUCUUUUUAACUGAUGCAUAAGAGCUUUUUAAAUUUUCUCUUUUUUAAGAGUUAGGAUCUUGCUGUGUGGCUUAACUCUCAAACUCUUGGGCUCUAGCAGUCCUCCCACCUUAGCCUCCCGAGUAGCUGGGACUACAGGCAUGUGCUGCUGUGUGCAGCAGAUGUGUACAAAAGAGCUUUAAAGGUAGUACUGAAAACAGUUCCUUUGUAGUUCUAUGUUGAAAAUAAUUUCUUCCCACUUUUUUAUUGUCUUGAUUUUAUUUACAGAUUUUUUGCUGUGCAGUAGGUUUUAUGUUGUCAAAUUUAUUAAUCUUUUAACCUUCUAGGUUUUAAGUUAAAAUGCUUUCCCCAUGGUAAGAUUUUUAAAAAGAAAAACUCUUCCAUGUUUCCUAAUACUUAUACUGUUUCAAAUUUUUAUGUUCAAAUCUUUGAUCCAUCUGAAAUUCACUUUGGUGUAAGGAAUAAGGAAGCAUUCUAAAUAGAUGUCAUACACAUAAACAAAUAUAUAUAUAUAGCCCCCACCCAAAUGUGGAUGUAAACUGUUUCUACAUCAUUAUUGAAUAAUCCAUCCUCUCACCCACUGAUCUGAAAUCUCACUGUUGCUAUAUACUAUGGUCCUAUGUGGAUUAGCAUCUACACCUGGAUUCUCUAUUCGCUCCUCUGACUAUUCCUGGCCCAGUAACUUGUCUGACAAGUUCAGUUUUACAGUAUGUUUUGUUCUCUAGUAAAGCAGCACACCCUUGCUCUCCCAACUCUUCCUUUUCAGUUUCCUUGGCUAUUCUUGAGGGUUUUUUUUCCAGAUAAACUUCAAUAAACAUGUAUCAAGGUCCAAAAUGAACGCUGGUAGGUUUUUUUUUUUUUUGAGUUGGGGUCUCGCUCUGUCGCCUAGGCUGCAGUGCAGUGGCGUGGAUCUCUGCUCACUGCAAGCUCCGCCUCCCGGGUUCAUGCCAUUCUCCUGACUCAGCCUCCGGAGUAGCGGGGACUACAGGUGCACGCCACCAGGCCCGGCUAAUUUUUUUUUUUUUGUAUUUUUAGUAGAGACGGGGUUUCACCGCGUUAGCCAGAAUGUUUUCUGUCUCCUGACCUCAUGAUCCGCCCACCUCGGCCUCCCAAAGUGCUGGGAUUACAGGCGUGAGCCACUGUGCCUGGCCAAACGCUGAUUAAAAAACUGAGGUCCAGAGAGAUUAAGUAAUUUGCUUAACUUCGCGAAUCAAGGACUGCAUCAAGGACGGAAGCUGAGGUUCCUGCUUUUGGCCUGGUGCUUUCUGUACUGGCCACACUACCUCCCAAAGGCAAAUAGUUUCUUACUACUUGAAACUAUUAUCUAGCUAAGGUAAAAUCCCAUUUUAAGCCACUUUUGAAAAAAACAAAAACAUGCCAGAGAAGUUAACAGGAAUUCUCACUAGUACUUUUUAAAGUGACAGUGUUUCUUAUAGUUUAUAUCCUUUAUAACAUAGAAGUUGCUAUAAUUAAGAAAGAUAAUUUUCAUUUUUAUCUCACUGCAAUUAUUUGCCAUGUAGUCUCUUAUUAAUCAUAUCAUUUUCAAGUGUAAUCUUCCUCUAGUCCUAUUUUCUAGAUAGAAUAGCUGUUAAAAUCCAAGAGAUUUACUAUAGCUUUUUCUCCAAAUUGAGGUUUUUUAAGUCACUAAUUUAUCAAUGAAGACUGUUUAAAGUACAGAGCCAACAGUUUGUCUAUUAAUAAUCUAUGAUUUUUAAAAAUAUCAAAUUAAGAAGACGAAGUAUCUUAAGCCAAAUAUUUAUACUUAAGUUCAACCUCAGAAAGUCAGAGACAAUAAGAGUGUAUCAAUUUUUCUGCAUAGAAAUAUUUGAAAACAUUACGACAGAAAUUUCGAUAGUCAUUCAUCAUCUGAAAAUAUUUCAAAUGCCUUUAAUUGUAAGAAAUAAGUACCAGUUUCCAUAAAUGACUCUAGCCUGCAAAUUGUAGUAUAUUCUCUCUUAUGAGCAGGUCCUCCCUCCUGGGAAAGGGUAUAUUCAGGAAGUCUCCAGCCAUGAUGAAUAGCCAAUUCCUAUAAAAUCAAGAUGAGGCUUUAAUAGUAAUUUUAUGCAAUGGCUCAAUCACAUAAGUGUUUUCUUAAUUUUGAUCCCAUUUCUAUGUAUAUGUUUGAAAAGAAUAGUGAUAUUCUGCAACGGAAAAAAGAGGGAAGACCCUCUAUUUCUCAAAGACAUUCCCGCAUUUUAUAUUUUUAUACCCCAAUACCAAAACUGAAGCGGUUUUGUGCUACGAAUGGUGUUCUUGCAUUAAACCACAGUGAGCUGGUAUCAGACUUCAACUAGAAAAACAGGCUACUACCGCCCUCUUUGGCAACACCAGAGGAGACCAUCUACAGGUUUCACUGCCAUCAGUUCCUAAAGUCCCUCCCCUCCUAGCUAUAGACUUCCAAACCCACAGCUGGCCAAGAACACGUGAGGAGUAGGGACAGCAAACAACAGACUUGCAUGAAGUGGGGGACAGAAGGUGAAGAAAACGAUAGAAAAGCUCACUGUGCAGGAAAAGGAGACCAAAGGACUGGCUGAAUAAUGGGGAGGGGAAUGGCCUAACAGAGCACAUGGAUAAUCUGCAAGAAGGAUAUUCUGCAUAUAGAAAUUCAAAGCUGAAUAUAUGUGUGUGUGUUUGUGUGUGUAUAGAUAUAAUUUUUUUUUUGGUAGAAUAAGCAAAUAAACAGACUCCUUUUCUUCAGUUAGGUUCACUGAUUUGAUUUAGGCUCUUUAUAAAGUCUUCUGUCUCAACAGAAGUAGAAAGAGAUUUGUCACAAGAGUAGCAAGAACUAUUCUUAAAGUAUAAAACACUCUACCUAUGUGCACUGAUGGCCUAUUGAUCUUAAAUGAGAAUUCUAUAAGCCAAAGGCAAAUACUGUAUAUGAAAGAAAACCCAGAACAUAAAUAGGAAAAUAAUUUCAAGUUAGCUUUGUUAAUCUAAUGAUCGUAAGUUGGAAAACAAAAUAUAUCACUAUCUUGUCUUUAAAAUAUUAAUUCCUUGUGUUAGCCCCUCUGACAUUACAAACUUAUUAUAUAUUUCAUCAGUAGGCAAAGAACUGUACAACUUACCUGUAAUGAACCAAUAGGAUUAAGCUGGUUCUUUGGUUGCUUGGAAGGGUCAGGCAUUAAGGGGUCAGGAACUGCAAAGCUAAAUAUUUUUUAAAAGUGUUAUAAAACAAAAUAAUUUCCCCCGAAUUAUGAAAUAAAUGACAAGCAUUUUCUAAUUAA